AAUAAUUUGAUCAAAAUUUCAAGUUAUAAUUUGAGAAUUUAUACUUAGCGAAAAGAAAUUGAACUUUUCUAAUACAUUUUUUUUACGUGUCGAUUACUUGUCAACAAGAAAACUUAUUCUGCAAAAUAAAUCUAUACUAUAGAAAAGUCAAAGCUAUAAGCUUCUUAGACUGUUCACGUGGGAUUUGUAACCACCAAUCUACUUAGCUUUUCGAGGGAUUGAAGAGUACAUCCCGAACAAUAAUGGGAUCAGCUAUGUCGUACGGAUGGGUACAAUAAUCGACUGAUGAGCGAGAAGAAUUCUUCUCAUCAGAAGGUGAGUUAGAUCUCUCGGUCGAGGAAUCAAGAUUUUUCAACGGGGAAGAAGGGUUCAUAAUUAUAGAAAUAAUUGAGAAGAAGAGGAAGAAAUUUUGUUCGUAAAGAGAGAGUAAGAUCAAGAUAAAAGCUAAAACAGAGAAAAUAAGAAGCGUUUAUACCUUCUACAAAUUUGUGGUUGAGGAUGAAACUGCCUCAGAGUCGUGUGAGGAGUGGAAGAAUUUUUUCCGCUUUAAUAAUAAAUAAAGGAAUCAAGUCAUAAAUGUGACAUGCGUCAUGCGUUUAAACAUGGAAAGUCCUGAAAUUAAGGGAAAUGAUGGUUCAAAAGGCAGAAAAUUAAAGAUCAUGUUGCACAAUCUUCAUAACUAAAGAAAGCAAGUCCCCCGAACUGGUUCGUCAGGUCAGAGGACUUGGGGGGCUAAUUAUUGAUGUCGGAUCCGGAACCCAAAGUUUUUGGAUCCACUCGAAGAUUACCACAUAAGCGUAAAAUCAACAAGAGUGCGAGUCAACGAAAAAUAAAUGCCGAACUGAGAUAAAGCUCCAACUCUACGAAGUGAGGAGUUUGGUAAAGGGAGCAACAUCUCGAAAUAAGAUAAUGGGCCAAGCUUCGAGGAAUCCACAAAACAAAUAAAAACAUUCAGAGAAAGACUUUAAAGUAUUAAAGUUGAGAAUCAAAACAGAUACAUUCCAGAAAAUUAAUUGUACCAGUGAUCAAUAAAUAUAAAUCAUAUUGUAUAAAUAUGGGGUUCACAAGUACAUAAGGGACAAAUGCAUUCUAAUUUACAAGGCUAAUACUAUGUUAUUUUCUAUUCUUACUUAUAUUUACUCGUAACUUUGCUUAUCGAAUAU
Molecule: small RNA, 1163 nt
Filed under: Arabidopsis thaliana (thale cress)
Lineage: Eukaryota; Viridiplantae; Streptophyta; Magnoliopsida; Brassicales; Brassicaceae
Description: ATSL282540
Source: RNAcentral